This 880-nucleotide ribosomal RNA is filed under the name uncultured bacterium. RNAcentral's name for it is "bacterial SSU rRNA". It matches the Rfam family "Bacterial small subunit ribosomal RNA", at positions 8 to 916 of the family's 1533-position model. The record is from RNAcentral.
AGAGUUUGAUCCUGGCUCAGGAUGAACGCUGGCGGCGUGCCUAAUACAUGCAAGUCGAACGGUCCGCAAGGAUAGUGGCGAACGGGUGAGUAACGCGUUGGUGACCUGCCCUGAAGAGGGGGAUACCGGAUCGAAAGGUCCGCUAAUACCGCAUAAACUCUGGCUAGUUAGAGAGGCGAGAGGAAAGCCGAAAGGCGCUUUAGGAGGGACCUGCGUCCCAUCAGCUAGUUGGUAGGGUAGAGGCCUACCAAGGCGAUGACGGGUAGGGGACCUGAGAGGGUGACCCCCCACAAUGGAACUGAAACACGGUCCAUACACCUACGGGUGGCAGCAGUAGGGGAUAUUGGUUAAUGGGCGCAAGCCUGACCCAGCAACGCCGCGUGAACGAUGAAGGCCUUCGGGUUGUAAAGUUCUUUUUAGCGGGAUGAGGAAGGACAGUACCGCUAGAAUAAGUCUCGGCUAACUACGUGCCAGCAGCCGCGGUAACACGUAGGAGACGAGCGUUAUCCGGAUUUACUGGGUGUAAAGCGCGUGCAGGCGGCAUGGUAAGUUGGAUGUGAAAGCUCCUGGCUUAACUGGGAGAGGUCGUUCAAGACUGCCAGGCUAGAGGACAGCAGAGGGGAGUGGAAUUCCGAGUGUAGCGGUAAAAUGCAUAGAUAUUCGGAAGAACACCAGUGGCGAAGGCGGCUCUCUGGGCUGUAACUGACGCUCAGACGCGAAAGCUAGGGUAGCAAACGGGACUAGAGACCCCGGUAGUCCUAGCCGUAAACGAUGUGGACUUGGCGUAGGUGGGUUCAAAUCCAUCUGUGCCGAAGCAAACGCGAUAAGUCCACCACCUGGGGACUACGGCCGCAAGGCUAAAACUUAAAGGAAUUGACGG